This is a long non-coding RNA of Hibiscus syriacus, 442 nucleotides long. RefSeq lists it as uncharacterized. NCBI's taxonomy places the organism in Eukaryota, Viridiplantae, Streptophyta, Magnoliopsida, Malvales, Malvaceae. The record is from RefSeq and is a predicted model, not a curated record. The transcript is spliced from 2 exons.
UGCUUUUACAUUUUAGGACGGGGAGCAUUUGCCCAAGGAAAAAAACGGGCAGCGAUAUAGAACAGAGGAAGAGGGAGGAGACAGAAGAAUCAUGGUACCAAUGGACUUGGCCAUGGAACUACAUCCUCAUGCCAUGCCCUUGAACUGUCUAAGCCACCCCCGGGCCCUAGAAUGCCCGACGGAACGAGGGGAUUCACAAUGGGUCGUGGACGGCCUCUACUUUCUUAACCAAGUUUGUGACUUUUGUUUUCAGCACCUCUGGUCUGAUCUUGCAUUCCGUGUUUUCAUUAUCAUGCGUUGUACAUAUUAGUGACGGUGUUCGGAUAUGGUUUUGAAGGCCAAUUGAUUUAUCGGUCUUAUUAGUGACGGUGUUAGCUUUGUUUAUCUUUUGAAAACUGAACAUACGAAACGAAACGGCUUGUCCUGUGGGGUUACGUUCAUA